This 253-nucleotide ribosomal RNA is filed under the name uncultured bacterium. RNAcentral describes it as "partial 16S ribosomal RNA". It matches the Rfam family "Bacterial small subunit ribosomal RNA", at positions 524 to 776 of the family's 1533-position model. The record is from RNAcentral.
UACGAAGGGGGCUAGCGUUGCUCGGAAUCACUGGGCGUAAAGCGCACGUAGGCGGCUUUUUAAGUCAGGGGUGAAAUCCUGGAGCUCAACUCCAGAACUGCCUUUGAUACUGAGGAUCUUGAGUUCGGGAGAGGUGAGUGGAACUGCGAGUGUAGAGGUGAAAUUCGUAGAUAUUCGCAAGAACACCAGUGGCGAAGGCGGCUCACUGGCCCGAUACUGACGCUGAGGCACGAAAGCGUGGGGAGCAAACAGG